RNAcentral lists this transfer RNA (85 nucleotides) under Felis catus (domestic cat). It matches the Rfam family "tRNA". Rfam says of the family: Transfer RNA (tRNA) molecules are approximately 80 nucleotides in length. Their secondary structure includes four short double-helical elements and three loops (D, anti-codon, and T loops). Lineage: Eukaryota; Metazoa; Chordata; Mammalia; Carnivora; Felidae. RNAcentral also lists the same sequence under 1 other name. The record is from Rfam by way of RNAcentral.
GCCUGGGUGGCUCAGUUGGUUGAGCAUCUGACUUCAGCUCAGGUCAUGAUCUCACAGUUUGUGAGUUAUAACCCCACGUCAGGCU